Molecule: ribosomal RNA, 231 nt
Filed under: uncultured bacterium
Lineage: Bacteria
Description: partial 16S ribosomal RNA
Rfam family: Bacterial small subunit ribosomal RNA
Source: RNAcentral
CGGACGGGUGAGUAAUGUCUGGGAAACUGCCUGAUGGAGGGGGAUAACUACUGGAAACGGUAGCUAAUACCGCAUAACGUCGCAAGACCAAAGAGGGGGACCUUCGGGCCUCUUGCCAUCGGAUGUGCCCAGAUGGGAUUAGCUAGUAGGUGGGGUAACGGCUCACCUAGGCACGAUCCCUAGCUGGUCUGAGAGGAUGACCAGCCACACUGGAACUGAGACACGGUCCAG